RNAcentral lists this ribosomal RNA (497 nucleotides) under uncultured bacterium. RNAcentral's name for it is "partial 16S ribosomal RNA". It matches the Rfam family "Bacterial small subunit ribosomal RNA", at positions 28 to 507 of the family's 1533-position model. The record is from RNAcentral.
GAUGAACGCUGGCGGCGUGCCUAAUACAUGCAAGUCGAGCGAACAGACGAGGAGCUUGCUCCUUCGACGUUAGCGGCGGACGGGUUAGUAACACGUAGGUAACCUACCUAUAAGACUGGGAUAACUUCGGGAAACCGGAGCUAAUACCGGAUAAUAUUUCGAACCGCAUGGUUCGAUAGUGAAAGAUGGCUUUGCUAUCACUUAUAGAUGGACCUGCGCCGUAUUAGCUAGUUGGUAAGGUAACGGCUUACCAAGGCAACGAUACGUAGCCGACCUGAGAGGGUGAUCGGCCACACUGGAACUGAGACACGGUCCAGACUCCUACGGGAGGCAGCAGUAGGGAAUCUUCCGCAAUGGGCGAAAGCCUGACGGAGCAACGCCGCGUGAGUGAUGAAGGUCUUCGGAUCGUAAAACUCUGUUAUUAGGGAAGAACAAACGUGUAAGUAACUGUGCACGUCUUGACGGUACCUAAUCAGAAAGCCACGGCUAACUACGUG